This 25-nucleotide transfer RNA is filed under the name Pseudohygrohypnum purpurascens. Its description in RNAcentral is "partial tRNA-Leu". Lineage: Eukaryota; Viridiplantae; Streptophyta; Bryopsida; Hypnales; Pylaisiaceae. The record is from RNAcentral.
GCGUUAGUGAAUCCGUUGGCUUUAU